Long non-coding RNA from Pseudophryne corroboree (corroboree frog), 473 nucleotides. RefSeq lists it as uncharacterized. The record is from RefSeq and is a predicted model, not a curated record. Lineage: Eukaryota; Metazoa; Chordata; Amphibia; Anura; Myobatrachidae. The transcript has 4 exons.
GCUCCUCACUGCUCCGCUGUUUUUAAUGACAGGGACCCGGCUUCAAGCGAACGGAGGUAUUCCCCCGGGCAGGUGUUAAGGAAAUAUCUGAAGUUAUACCCUUUUCUUGACUUCUUCCACAAUGAGUGAUGUGACAUGGUGACCAUUAAUCAGCUCAUUGAUCCAAGACAGCAGAGGUUCCAUUACUCAGUAAUUACUUUGGGUGGACCAUUCUUAACAGAAACAUUACAUUAUGUAUAUGGAAUGCUGACGUCCUUAUUCUGGAAGGACCUUCUUCUUGUGAUACCAUAUAUGAACCCCUGAAGAAGUCAUUUUUGACGAAAUGCGUUGGGUUAAAUUGGCUACGGUUUCUUAUUCAGUUCAUCAUCACACCCUUUGAGCUCACACCUGCGAAGAUGAGGGUGAUCUUUCCAUCUGUUGAACCUGAUAAAGAGUAUCCUGGCUGCAGCUCGAUGUACUGUUUUAUAAUGUUC